GACGAACGCUGGCGGCGUGCCUAAUACAUGCAAGUUGAGCGCUGAAGGUUGGUACUUGUACCAACUGGAUGAGCAGCGAACGGGUGAGUAACGCGUGGGGAAUCUGCCUUUGAGCGGGGGACAACAUUUGGAAACGAAUGCUAAUACCGCAUAAAAACUUUAAACACAAGUUUUAAGUUUGAAAGAUGCAAUUGCAUCACUCAAAGAUGAUCCCGCGUUGUAUUAGCUAGUUGGUGAGGUAAAGGCUCACCAAGGCGAGGAUACAUAGCCGACCUGAGAGGGUGAUCGGCCACCUUGGGACUGAGACACGGCCCAAACUCCUACGGGAGGCAGCAGUAGGGAAGCUUCGGCAAUGGCCGAAAGUCUGACCGAGCAACGCCGCGUGAGUGAAGAAGGUUUUCGGAUCGUAAAACUCUGUUGGUAGAGAAGAACGUUGGUGAGAGUGGAAAGCUCAUAAAGUGACGGUAACUACCCAGACAGGGACGGCUAACUACGUG
This 497-nucleotide ribosomal RNA is filed under the name uncultured bacterium. Its description in RNAcentral is "partial 16S ribosomal RNA". It matches the Rfam family "Bacterial small subunit ribosomal RNA", at positions 28 to 507 of the family's 1533-position model. The record is from RNAcentral.